Long non-coding RNA from Anthonomus grandis grandis, 1060 nucleotides. RefSeq lists it as uncharacterized. The transcript has 3 exons. Lineage: Eukaryota; Metazoa; Arthropoda; Insecta; Coleoptera; Curculionidae. The record is from RefSeq and is a predicted model, not a curated record.
AAGUGACUUUUUCCGAAUUUUCAAAGUGCUCUCAUUCAGUUAGUUCUGCUCGAAUCCCGUUAUAACCCAGUGUUUUCGUAAUCUAGGGGGCCUAAAGAAGAUGCUGGUAUAGUUAGUUUGAUUUCGAAAAAAAUGAAUUUUUGGUGAAAAAAUUCGAUACGGGGGGGUAUACCCGAAAAAUGAAAAGUCCCAAACUUUGGAGGUCGAUAUCUCGGCUUCUAUAGCCACUAUCGCGAAAAUUCCAACGGUUUUCUCUUAGUUUCGUCAUUCUGAAUCCAACGAGACCAUUUGCAAGGUCGUAGCUCUUAUAUUAGCUGAGAUAUCGCAUUUUUGGAGCCCAUUUUUGGCCUCAAAAACAAGGUCGAAAAGUGACUUUUUCCGAAUUUUCAAAGUGCUCUCAUUCAGUUAGUUCUGCUCGAAUCCCGUUAUAACCCAGUGUUUUCGUAAUGAGGGUGAUGAGAGGAAGCCGCUGGUAUGGUUAGUUCGAUUUCGAAAAAAAUGAAUUUUUGGUGAAAAAAUUCGAUACGGGGGGGUAUACCCGAAAAAUGAAAAAUCCCAAACUUUGGAGGUCGAUAUCUCGGCUUCUAUAGCCACUAUCGGGAAAAUUCCAACGGUUUUGUCUUAGUUUGGUCAUUCUGAAUCCAACGAGACCAUUUGCAAGGUCGUAGCUCUUAUAUUACCUGAGAUAUCGCAUUUUUGGAGCCCAUUUUUGGCCUCAAAAACGAGGUCGAAAAGUGACUUUUUCCGAGUUUUCAAAGUGCUCUCAUUCAGUUAGUUCUGCUCGAAUCUCGUUAUAACCCGGUGUUUUCGUAAUGAGGGUGAUGAGAGGAAGCCACUGGUAUGGUUAGUUCGAUUUCGAAAAAAAUGAAUUUUUGGUGAAAAAAUUCGAUACGGGGGGGUAUACCCGAAAAAUGAAAAAUCCCAAACUUUGGAGGUCGAUAUCUCGGCUUCUAUAGCCACUAUCGGGAAAAUUCCAACGGUUUUGUCUUAGUUUGGUCAUUCUGAAUCCAACGAGACCUUUUGCAAGGUCGUAGCUCUUAUAUUAGCUGAGAUUUCGCAU